GUUAGCGGCGGACGGGUGAGUAACACGUGGGUAACCUACCUAUAAGACUGGGAUAACUUCGGGAAACCGGAGCUAAUACCGGAUAACAUUUAGAACCGCAUGGUUCUAAAGUGAAAGAUGGUUUUGCUAUCACUUAUAGAUGGACCCGCGCCGUAUUAGCUAGUUGGUAAGGUAACGGCUUACCAAGGCGACGAUACGUAGCCGACCUGAGAGGGUGAUCGGCCACACUGGAACUGAGACACGGUCCAGACUCCUACGGGAGGCAGCAGUAGGGAAUCUUCCGCAAUGGGCGAAAGCCUGACGGAGCAACGCCGCGUGAGUGAUGAAGGGUUUCGGCUCGUAAAACUCUGUUAUUAGGGAAGAACAAAUGUGUAAGUAACUGUGCACAUCUUGACGGUACCUAAUCAGAAAGCCACGGCUAACUACGUGCCAGCAGCCGCGGUAAUACGUAGGUGGCAAGCGUUAUCCGGAAUUAUUGGGCGUAAAGCGCGCGUAGGCGGUUUCUUAAGUCUGAUGUGAAAGCCCACGGCUCAACCGUGGAGGGUCAUUGGAAACUGGGAAACUUGAGUGCAGAAGAGGAAAGUGGAAUUCCAUGUGUAGCGGUGAAAUGCGCAGAGAUAUGGAGGAACACCAGUGGCGAAGGCGACUUUCUGGUCUGUAACUGACGCUGAUGUGCGAAAGCGUGGGGAUCAAACAGGAUUAGAUACCCUGGUAGUCCACGCCGUAAACGAUGAGUGCUAAGUGUUAGGGGGUUUCCGCCCCUUAGUGCUGCAGCUAACGCAUUAAGCACUCCGCCU
This 797-nucleotide ribosomal RNA is filed under the name Staphylococcus sp. Its description in RNAcentral is "bacterial SSU rRNA". It matches the Rfam family "Bacterial small subunit ribosomal RNA", at positions 91 to 874 of the family's 1533-position model. The record is from RNAcentral. Lineage: Bacteria; Bacillati; Bacillota; Bacilli; Caryophanales; Staphylococcaceae.